This 248-nucleotide ribosomal RNA is filed under the name uncultured Actinomycetales bacterium. RNAcentral's name for it is "partial 16S ribosomal RNA". It matches the Rfam family "Bacterial small subunit ribosomal RNA", at positions 83 to 334 of the family's 1533-position model. Lineage: Bacteria; Bacillati; Actinomycetota; Actinomycetes; Actinomycetales. The record is from RNAcentral.
CAGGGUACUCGAGUGGCGAACGGGUGAGUAACACGUGGGUGAUCUGCCCUGCACUUCGGGAUAAGCUUGGGAAACUGGGUCUAAUACCGGAUAGGAGCCAUCUUUAGUGUGGUGGUUGGAAAGUUUUUUCGGUGUAGGAUGAGCUCGCGGCCUAUCAGCUUGUUGGUGGGGUAAUGGCCUACCAAGGCGGCGACGGGUAGCCGGCCUGAGAGGGUGUACGGCCACAUUGGGACUGAGAUACGGCCAAG